Molecule: long non-coding RNA, 936 nt
Organism: Chinchilla lanigera (long-tailed chinchilla)
Lineage: Eukaryota; Metazoa; Chordata; Mammalia; Rodentia; Chinchillidae
Exons: 3
Source: RefSeq, a predicted model, not a curated record
AGGCUAGCCUUGAACUCACAACAAUCCUCCUGCCUCAGCCUCCCGUACCCCACUGUUUAGAUGAGGAAACCCAGGCUCACAGAGGUGAAAUGGCCACGAAUCACACGGAGGCGAGGAGCACCGUGGGAAGACCCGUCCCAGCCUGGUCCUUGCUGUGCCCUUUCCAGACGUGACCGGUGGGCCAGGUCAGCCUUGUGGUUUACAAGUGUAGGACACCUGUGAUGCUCUGGAGGCAGAGGACUGUGUGACCGCCCGAUUGCGACUGUGUGUCCUGCCCUGCACUCCUCCCACUUCCUGACCUCAGAGCCCAAGACAACACUGACAAUUAAGAACAGAUUUAAGCCUGAGUAUGACAGAAAGCAUCUCCAGGCAAAUACCCUCCCCUGGGUGUGCAGGUCAGCCAGUCAAUCAACAAACAGUUUCAGCAAGCACCCUGUGUCCUGCAGAGAGGCAAGGCCUAUGCAGAUAAUUACGUCUCGGGCCUGAGGGCGGCUCUCCGCUGACUUACCUGUGGGACACUGGGGCCCAGCAGGGGGCCGAGUCACCUGAGCGGACUCAACCCGACCCCGGGAGCCACUCCUGGAGGACAGCGCCCCCUCCGGAGCUGCAGACACCCAUAUCCCACCACCCAGGCCACCUCCGCGCCCGCCUUCCCUCCCGUCCUGUGUCCUCCCCCGGCCAGGCCAGAGCGCAGGAUCUGUCUGGGCCUCCUCUCUCCUGCUCGCCCUUGCCCUCCUCCCGAUUCCUGGCCCAGGGCUGCCCCCUCCACCACCCCUCACAACAGCCAGGAGCACCCCACAAAGCCUGCAGCACCCUCCCUGCCCAGCACCCCUCACUCCCUACUGUCUCCCUUGCCCCAAAGCUGUUCCUUGAACAUAUGUCCCAUGGCUGUGUAUGUGGGUCUAGGAGGAGGGCGCUAUGGAAGCAAGUGGGAAG